GGAUGUGUGGAUAACAUAUAUAUAUAAAUAUAAAAUAUUACAUUACAAUAUAACAUAAUCAGUGUAAUAACAAAUAUGUAUAGGACACUGUGGGUGGACCUAAUCAAGGCCCUGUGUACAACUAACCAAGUUGACACUGCACAUCUCCAAGCCACAGAACUGUGCAGUGUCUAAGGUGGCCCUGUACCUAACCAGUUAUAUGUUAUUAGCCCCAUGUUAAGAGGCAGUGGCAUAUUGUAGUGGACACUAUGCACAUUUAAAAGUAUCUGCUGUGUGAUCUUGGGCAAAUUCUAAUUGACGUUCUGUAAAAUGGGAAUAUUACCUAUUUUAAUGUAUUGUCGCAUUGUGAUAAUACAUGCAAUGGCUUACCCAGCACUAUUUCAGAUACAUAGUAAAUUAUUUUUAAAAUGUUAGCAGAUGUAUUUAAGCACAGGGAAACAAACCCAGAAAGAAUGAUUUGACCACAUCAAAACCAAUGACAAAAGUGAAGCCCGAGCCUGAAUCUUCUGAUUUUCUAUCCACCAGUGGGUUUUCUCCCAAGGAAGCAAUUCCCAAGACAAGAAUUGUUUGAGAAAACUGCAACUGGAUUUGCCUAUACAUGCAGCAGUAAACUUCAGUGAGCACCUGACCCUAUUUUCAGGAGCAGCAGAAAGGCACAUUUACCCCACACAGGUAAGAAGUGGUUUUCCUCCUCUGUAGCCCUCCUUUCUCCGGCCUUCCAUUGGAGAUCGGAAAGUCUUAGGAAAAUGAGAGAGUAUGGGUCACUAUUUUCUAUUUUCAAGUUUUCAGAUCUUUAAUCUGCAAAUUUAGGUGAUCCCAGCUCCGGAAAGAGCAUCACACUUUUUUUUUUUUUUUUUUUUGAGACAGAGCCUCAGUCUGUCGCCUAGGCUGGAGUGCAAUGUCACAAUCUCGGCUCACUGCAACCUCGACCUCCCGGGUUCAAGUAAUUCUCCUGCCCCAGCCUCCUGAGUAGCAGGGACCACAGUACAGGCAGCGCCACCACGCCUGGCUAAUUUUUGUAUUUUUAGUAGAGACGGGGUUUUGCCAUGUUGGCCAGGCUGGUCUCCUGACCUCAAGCUAUCUGCCCAACUCGGCCUCCCAAAGUUCUGAGAUUACAGCAUGAGCCACCACGCCGGCCACUUUUGACUUUUUUGACCAGCAAGCUUCCAUCUGGAGCCUAGGCUCUCUUCUUUAGGUGCCCACAGCCCCAGGGGUGCACAGGCUGCUGAGCAGCUGCGGGCCCGCGGGGCUGGGAGCCCACCAGGGCCGCGUGUCCUGUGUGGCGCACAGUCCCAGUCAUCCUAGGAGGCAGCCCUGAGUUCACACCUUCUCGUUCCUCUUUGUCAGAGCUCGGUUAGUGAGUGGGACACUAAAAUAGCACUGCAAACAUAAUGAGAAAAUGAAAACUGAGUUUACCAGAACUGCUUUCAGAGAAAGAGCUGGAAGCAUUGGAGGGAAUUCUUUGAUAAGCUGCUUUGAGAUGUGGUGGUGGGGGUGAUACUCUCAUGGGGGCAAACCUAAUCUGUAACAGCAAAAGAUCACCAAGCUGCCUUCCAAAAAUGUCCCUGGAUUGCAAGGCUGUGUUUUCCCAAGAGAAUGGAAAUUUGCCUUCAAAGGAGAGUUUGGUCACUGUCCCCAGGGAGGCUUCUUCGCAGUCUUUCAACAUUCGGCAGGAAACCUAUCAGUGUCCGGGUGACUACCUAUUAACCUGCCCUGAUUAUUAACUGUGCCCAGGUCGAGACAGCAUCAGGGUUGUGGUUCUACCAGGCCGUCUCUUUGCAGUCCUCGGCUUCUGUCAAAGUUGAACGCCAUCCACCUCCCUUUUGGUUCCAGCCACAGAGGCGUGCCUUCCACAGAGGCGUGCUCCGCAGCGCCG
This 1876-nucleotide long non-coding RNA is filed under the name Homo sapiens (human). RNAcentral's name for it is "HSALNT0139315". The record is from RNAcentral. Lineage: Eukaryota; Metazoa; Chordata; Mammalia; Primates; Hominidae.